Molecule: ribosomal RNA, 251 nt
Filed under: Gaidropsarus mediterraneus (shore rockling)
Lineage: Eukaryota; Metazoa; Chordata; Actinopteri; Gadiformes; Gaidropsaridae
Description: partial 12S ribosomal RNA
Rfam family: Bacterial small subunit ribosomal RNA
Source: RNAcentral
UCCGCCCGGGUAAUACGAGCAUUAGCUUAAAACCCAAAGGACUUGGUGGUGCUUUAGACCCCCCUAGAGGAGCCUGUUCUAGAACUGAUAACCCCCGUUAAACCUCACCACCCCUUGUUUUACCCGCCUAUAUACCACCGUCGUCAGCUUACCCUGUGAAGGUAACGUAGUGAGCACAAAUGGCAAAGCCAUAAACGUCAGGUCGAGGUGUAGCGAAUGGGGUGGGAAGAAAUGGGCUACAUUCUCUAUUG